RNAcentral lists this ribosomal RNA (916 nucleotides) under uncultured archaeon. Its description in RNAcentral is "bacterial SSU rRNA". It matches the Rfam family "Archaeal small subunit ribosomal RNA", at positions 1 to 923 of the family's 1478-position model. The record is from RNAcentral.
UUUCCGGUUGAUCCUGCCGGACCUGACUGCUAUCGGAUUGAUACUAAGCCAUGCGAGUCAUUGUAGCAAUACAAGGCAGACGGCUCAGUAACGCGUAGUCAACCUACCCUAUGGACGGGAAUAACCUCGGGAAACUGAGAAUAAUGCCCGAUAGAACACUAUGCCUGGAAUGGUUUGUGUUCCAAAUGAUUUAUCGCCGUAGGAUGGGACUGCGUCCUAUCAGUUUGUUGGUGAGGUAAUGGCCCACCAAGACUAUUACAGGUACGGGCUCUGAGAGGAGUGGCCCGGAGAUGGGUACUGAGACACGGACCCAGGCCCUAUGGGGCGCAGCAGGCGAGAAAACUUUGCAAUGUGCGAAAGCACGACAAGGUUAAUCCGAGUGGUUUCUGCUAAAGGAACCUUUUGUUAGUCCUAGAAACACUGACGAAUAAGGGGUGGGCAAGUUCUGGUGUCAGCCGCCGCGGUAAAACCAGCACCUCAAGUGGUCAGGAUGAUUAUUGGGCCUAAAGCAUCCGUAGCCUGCUUUGUUAGUUUUCGGUUAAAUCUGUACGCUCAACGUACAGGCUGCCGGGAAUACUGCAAAGCUAGGGAGUGGGAGAGGUAGACGGUACUCGGUAGGAAGGGGUAAAAUCCUUUGAUCUAUUGAUGACCACCUGUGGCGAAGGCGGUCUACCAGAACACGUCCGACGGUGAGGGAUGAAAGCUGGGGGAGCAAACCGGAUUAGAUACCCGGGUAGUCCCAGCUGUAAACCAUGCAAACUCAGUGAUGCGUUGGCUUGUGGCCAAUGCAGUGCUGCAGGGAAGCCGUUAAGUUUGCCGCCUGGGAAGUACGUACGCAAGUAUGAAACUUAAAGGAAUUGGCGGGGGAGCACCACAAGGGGUGAAGCCUGCGGUUCAAUUGGAGUCAACGCCGGAA